AGUGAACGCUGGCGGCGUGCCUAAUACAUGCAAGUCGAACGGAGUGGCGCACGGGUGAGUAAUGUAUAGCUCAUCUGCCCUACACUAGAGGACAACAGUUGGAAACGACUGCUAAUACUCUAUAGUGUAGGAUGAGGCUAUAUUGUAUCAGCUCGUUGGUGAGGUACUGGCUCACCAAGGCUAUGACGCAUAACUGGUCUGAGAGGAUGAUAAGUAACACUGGAACAGAGACACGGUGCAUACUCCGACGGGAGGCAGCAGUAGGGAAUAUUGCUCAAUGGGUGAAACCCUGAAGCAGUAACGCCGCGUGGAGGAUGACACUUUUAGGAGCGUAAACGCCUUUUGUUAGGGAAGCGGUACCUAACGAAUAAGCACCGGCUAACUCCGUGCCAGCAGCCGCGGUAAUAC
This 408-nucleotide ribosomal RNA is filed under the name uncultured bacterium. RNAcentral's name for it is "partial 16S ribosomal RNA". It matches the Rfam family "Bacterial small subunit ribosomal RNA", at positions 29 to 526 of the family's 1533-position model. The record is from RNAcentral.